Arachis ipaensis is the source of this 946-nucleotide non-coding RNA. Lineage: Eukaryota; Viridiplantae; Streptophyta; Magnoliopsida; Fabales; Fabaceae. The record is from RefSeq and is a predicted model, not a curated record.
UAGUAUUUUAUAGUGAACUCUUCUGUAGGCUGUCAGUGAUCUUUGCAUAUAUAAAAUGGCUGAAAAUCUUUAUCAGCGAAAAUGGAAUGCGAAGCACAUAUAUCUACAGCUUUGCAGUCUUUGGUUGGACAAAGCCCAGAUUUGGUUGUUUUUCUAUCUCUAGUUGAAAGAUGUUGGCAGGAUCUUUGUGACCAAAUGUUGAUGAUUCGGGGUAUAUCCUUGUAUCUGGAUAGGACAUAUGUGAAGUAAACAGCAAAUGUACGGUCCUUAUGGGACAUGGGCUUACAACUUUUUCACUAACAUCUUUCAUUAUCUCCUGAAGUUGAACACAAAACUGUUAUCGGUCUUCUAAGAAUAAUUGAAAUUGAAAGAUUAGGUGAAGCAGUGGAUAGAACGCUUCUAAACCAUCUUUUGAAGAUGUUCACAGCACUGGGAAUAUAUGCAGAAAGCUUUGAGAAGCCAUUUCUUGAAUGCACAUCUGAAUUUAUGCUGCUCAAGGUAUGACAUGCAGCAAUCAGAUGUUCCAGAUUAUUUGAAGCAUGUGGAGACAAGAUUGCAAGAGGAACAUGAUAGAUACCUGAUCUACUUGGAUACGAGUACUAGGAAGUCGCUGAUAGCCACAGCAGAAAAGCAACUUCUUAAACGCCAUAUACCUGCCAUUCUUGAUAAGUAUAAGUGACAAUAUUGGUGAAACUGAAGGUGGAAUUGGCGGACAUGUUCUUUGUGCAAUUGAUAUGCCAAAUUUUAGGUGUUGUUUAUAUUUUUCAUUUUUUUUAAAUUUUCAAUGUGAAAUGAGGAACCGAGAUGUGUAUUUUUCAUUUUUGCUUGCAUAGUUUACUAAUUACGUCAUCUUAUUUCGAACUAUUGAAAAGAUAGAGUAGGCAUUUGAUCAAGCCCAAAUGCUUGGUUAUUAUCAGGUUAAGCUUCAAUGCUUACUUUCUUGAAA